Molecule: ribosomal RNA, 497 nt
Filed under: uncultured bacterium
Lineage: Bacteria
Description: partial 16S ribosomal RNA
Rfam family: Bacterial small subunit ribosomal RNA
Source: RNAcentral
GAUGAACGCUGGCGGCGUGCCUAAUACAUGCAAGUCGAGCGAACAGACGAGGAGCUUGCUUCUCUGAUGUUAGCGGCGGACGGGUGAGUAACACGUGGAUAACCUACCUAUAAGACUGGGAUAACUUCGGGAAACCGGAGCUAAUACCGGAUAAUAUUUUGAACCGCAUGGUUCAUUAGUGAAAGACGGUUUUGCUGUCACUUAUAGAUGGAUCCGCGCUGCAUUAGCUAGUUGGUAAGGUAACGGCUUACCAAGGCAACGAUGCAUAGCCGACCUGAGAGGGUGAUCGGCCACACUGGAACUGAGACACGGUCCAGACUCCUACGGGAGGCAGCAGUAGGGAAUCUUCCGCAAUGGGCGAAAGCCUGACGGAGCAACGCCGCGUGAGUGAUGAAGGUCUUCGGAUCGUAAAACUCUGUUAUUAGGGAAGAACAAAUGUGUAAGUAACUGUGCACAUCUUGACGGUACCUAAUCAGAAAGCCACGGCUAACUACGUG